CUCAGAGGUUGGCAGGGUGAAGGCACAGCACACCAGUUUAUAAUACCAACGAUCUGCACCUGUCUGCAUCACAGCCAGCACCUUUGAUUGUCAAUCCUGAACAAGCUGCUGCAGCUGGAUCUACCUGGGAGACUGCUGUCUGAUAUUCUGGGAUCAAUGGCACUGCAAAGGACAAAACUCUCUCCAACAUAGUAUGAUUCUUCACCAAGCAUGGAAGCAAAUUCCACAGGAGCCCAAGCACAACAUUCAGAGAUGGACACUUGGAAAUACAGGAAUGGACAGCACCUUUACCUCUGACCAGCUCACUUCUCAUGGGAACAGCCCACUACAAGGUAAAAGGGAGCCAUUCUCAGCAGAUGGAGCAGCCAAGGAAGCAGCAAGUGCCAUAAGGUGAGCAGCACACAGACAGUGAGACUGCCAUUGAGAUGAAAAGCAAAAUCGGGUCCUCUGACCUGAGCUGGAAUUUGUGAAAAUAUAGGGGCCUCAAGGGGUGAAAAGGCCAGACCUCAGUGGUGCCAUCAGACAGGAAGAUACAUCCACAAUCUCCAUUGUAUCUGCAAGGGCUUUACUGUCACAGAGGAGAAUAUCCUGCACCAAACUCUCCUCUUCCCAAUCUGGGAAAAAGCAAGAAAUUGUCAUUAUCUCUCAUCAGUCAUUUUGGCAGCUGAUAAGGAGAGGGAGUACAGUGCCAGCCUCUUACCUGCCCUCUUAGCUAUGACAGACCUCAGCACAGCAAGUCUUGAUCUGUGCCUUCUGGUAGACACCAGCACAGGUCAAGUCUUAGUGGCUUUGGGAUAUGAAGAAGGCAGCAAGUUCACCACCUUUGAGAGGCAGCCAAAGAAGCCCCACUGAGGUCACAAACGGGGUUUCUUCCACUGUCAAAUCAAGACAACUCAGAUGAAAUGCACAUAAAUCAAUGAGUUAUGACUGUCAUUCCUGUGCAUCAGAAAAAAAAUACUAUUUCCUUAAUUUCUUAUCCUUGUCUGGGAGUUUAAACAUGCACAACUGCAGUGCUUUCAUUUUUGCUUGGAAAUUAGAAUAUUCAAUGCAAAUUAGGAACCAGAUGAAAACUCCCCAGUAAAACAAUAGGCUGCAGGAAAGUGCUGAUCUGAUGAAAUAUUAAGUUUUAUAGUAAUAACUUGAUUGCAAAGUUUCACGGGAAAAAAUUUGCCUAAGUGAGGUCAGAUGUCUCAUUUCCCAACCGUCCAAAAGUUAGAAUGAUAUUUGAAAUAAUACUAUUGAUGAUAGGGGUAAAAUAUUAUCUUUCUGCCAUGGUCAACCUUUAUCUAAAUUAAAUGUUUGGACAAACUUGGAAUGAAAUCUUUUGAGAAUAUGCUUUCCAGAGCAUGAGAAAAAAUAUCUAUUAUGAUAAUAACAAAACUUAUAUGACAAUAGUAGCAAAAGAGUGGUGGUAAUAUUACUUCCAUAUUUACUGUUUGCUUUAUAACUUCAGAGGAUCUGGUCUUACUCUCACAGCUACUUUCUAUCUUCUUCCAGAGAAUUUCCAUGUAAUUGCCUCAACCUCUGCAUUUGCAGAACUCCCUGUUGGGUGACUGCACCAGGCAAAAAAGACCCCAUAUUUAGGAGCAUAGCCAGAGAAGCCCAUUGAGGUAAUAAUAUUGAACAAUAAUAAAUUAACAAAGGUAGAAAAGUGAAAAUUUCUGUAGCUAUGCAUUCAACUCACUCCAUUUAGAGAUCAAAUAUCUCAAAAACUCCAUCUUCAAAGUGGCCAAAAGCAGGUUGAAACUCAGCUGCUUUUGCGUGUACCUAGUCCAUGUAGCUAGCCCAACCAUGCUGGGUGUCACAUGGGGGUCCAAUCCAGCCUGACUUUCUAAAAGACAGGAAUAUCUUGUUCCAGAAGGCUAACAGAGCAAUGUCCUUAGUCAGAAACAUGAACACCCCCCUUACUGUGUUUCUAGUUAAAUGUAUAGCUCGGGUACUUAUAGAAUAAUAAAUCACCUAUAGAAGUCAAUGGAGGGAAAAAAAAAACCCCAAAAAAUCCAACACGAACAGCUUGAAUAGCAAUUUACAAAGUUGCUCAGCACAGCAAUAUUUAAAGCUGUUCUUCACUAUAUGUCAUUUUCAGAUAAGUUAAUAAAGAAAUAUAGGAGAGAAUCAAUUUUUAGUAAUCAUUACCAUGUACAGUAGUGAAACCUCCAGGCUAUUCAAUUAAUUCUAGACCAUAAUUAUGACCCAGGAACAUAUUGUAUAAAUCAGCAUUUUUUUUAUUUAACCAUACAAAUCAGACUCUGAUCUUGAGUGCAGAUCAAGAGUUGUAUAUUUCACAGCUCUUGCUGUCUCAGAAAAUAGACUCUCCAAGGAUUCAAGCCCCUUGAGGCAUAAAUUGUGCACACUUCAAAUUCCACAGGGAUCAUGGUAAUUAUAGUAAUUUUUGACUCAACAUGUCACCGUGCCCCAAUGACACUCGGGUUCUUUAAUAGAAUGCAGAAAAGGAAAAGUGGCUGGAUGAUCUAAUAAAUUCUAGGUCUCAGGUGUAAGAGCAGAUUUUAAAAAUAAUCAAACCAAACUCCAUUCACCACAAAAUUAAAACAAACAAACAAAAAAAAAGAAAAAAAGUGAGCAAAAAGCAACAACUAAACAACAAAAAAUACCCACAAAAUCUGAGACCCAGUCGAGGAUCAAACUCACCUGCAGAAGGCUACAGCAAAGAAAAAGCUGAGUUACCCCUUACAACACUUCCCUUACUAUCCUCUGUGGAUUUAAAAGCACAUUCUGGUUGCAGAAUUGCAUUUACAGAUUGAGUCUUACAAUGUACUUUAGCAGGCAGCCCAAGGCUCGGAGGUGAAGCCACUUACCUAAAAACAUACAGUCAGUGAAUUUCAAAAACCAUAAAGUGAGCUCCUCAGUUCAAGAGAUCUCCAUACUCUGUAGGAAUGCACAUACACCAAAGGAUGCCAGCAGUCCUCCCCACAGCAUUCACAAAAUCCUUUUCUAAAAUCAGUGGUAACAUGUUUGCUGUCCCUUUGGUUCUGAAGGAGCAUUUAACACCAGUGAUUUGGUCAGCUCCCUGCUCCUGUCCAGGCCCAGGUCUCUGCCAUUUGUGCUGCACAUCUGUUAUGUCACUCCCCUGCUUGAAUCCAGAUGGUUCAGACAUGGUCCUUGGGUGCUCAUUCCAAGGAUCAAGAUGAGGAUGUCACAUCCCAAAGACCCCUGUCCCUGAAUCCCACAGGCCUCAGGGCUGCCACACGUAAACCUGAGAUAAGCAUGGGAGCUCAACAGGUGAAUCACUGAUGUA
Molecule: long non-coding RNA, 3256 nt
Organism: Passer domesticus (house sparrow)
Lineage: Eukaryota; Metazoa; Chordata; Aves; Passeriformes; Passeridae
Exons: 3
Source: RefSeq, a predicted model, not a curated record